RNAcentral lists this ribosomal RNA (465 nucleotides) under uncultured bacterium. RNAcentral's name for it is "partial 16S ribosomal RNA". It matches the Rfam family "Bacterial small subunit ribosomal RNA", at positions 28 to 507 of the family's 1533-position model. The record is from RNAcentral.
GACGAACGCUGGCGGCGUGCUUAACACAUGCAAGUCGAACGGAAAGGCCCCUUUGGGGGUACUCGAGUGGCGAACGGGUGAGUAACGCGUGAGUAACCUGCCCUUGACUUCGGGAUAACUUCAGGAAACUGGGGCUAAUACCGGAUAGGAAUCCUUGCUGCAUGGUGGGGGUUGGAAAGCUUCGGCGGUUUUGGAUGGACUCGCGGCUUAUCAGCUUGUUGGUGGGGUAGUGGCUUACCAAGGCUUUGACGGGUAGCCGGCCUGAGGGGGCGACCGGCCACAUUGGGACUGAGAUACGGCCCAGACUCCUACGGGAGGCAGCAGUGGGGAAUAUUGCACAAUGGGCGGAAGCCUGAUGCAGCAACGCCGCGUGCGGGAUGACGGCCUUCGGGUUGUAAACCGCUUUCAGCAGGGGCGAAGCUUGUGGUGACGGUACCUGCAGAAGAAGCACCGGCUAACUACGUG